Brienomyrus brachyistius is the source of this 529-nucleotide long non-coding RNA. RefSeq lists it as uncharacterized. NCBI's taxonomy places the organism in Eukaryota, Metazoa, Chordata, Actinopteri, Osteoglossiformes, Mormyridae. The record is from RefSeq and is a predicted model, not a curated record. The transcript is spliced from 3 exons.
GCAAUGAAACAGUGUAACAAUGUCAGCUUACAUUACAUGUUCCUGAAUUUCAUUCAAAUAGUUUUUACCCUGCCAACAAAGACCCUUCAAGGAUAACCCCACAAUUGAGCCAGAUUUGAUCAGGUCCAAGUCCAUCAGCACUGCCGACCACUGCUUGCUGUGCUUCAAUAUCAUGAGGGUCACACUGUGACGUCGAGCCCGGGAGGCAGGCCCUGACUAAGGCCUACCACAGGAUUUGCUGCGGCACGCGACAGGGUGCCUCCCAAGAUAAUCGUAAACACUGCCUUUCCAUGCAAUUAAAUGCAAACUCUGGUCAACUUAACCAUGGAAUUUGAGAAAGCUACUGCCAAGCAACUCAAAUGCCAACAGGAGGCAGAUAGCAUGAAGUAAACAAUCUUCCUAACAGAUCCACGGAAUCCUUACAGACGGUGACAGAGUCCUGCUUGCUGACACCACUGGAAAGACUGUAGAGUUGCACUGGCUUCUCUCCUCAGAAGAAAUACGAUCAAGAAGGCAACGUGAGACAAUC